Molecule: non-coding RNA, 1037 nt
Organism: Styela clava
Lineage: Eukaryota; Metazoa; Chordata; Ascidiacea; Stolidobranchia; Styelidae
Source: RefSeq, a predicted model, not a curated record
AAUUUAGUUUCGCGCGACUCCACUCACCCUGAAAUGCUUCUUCAUCAUUUAUUGUAAUUUAUAUAUCAAGUGUGCUAUUAGAAUGGUAAGAAAAUAAAUCACUGAUUACUGAUAGAAUAAACGUUUUCCGCUUUUUUUUUUAAAUAUGUACUUGUACGUAGUGGCAAGUAUCGGCUAUUUGGCCUCGUAGUGAAAGAGAGGGAUAGAUUUAUUAUUUCGUCAACCAGAAAACAAGAAAUGGUACAGUAAAUAUAUACAAUACAAAGUGCAAUCAGUAUGCACUCCUUACUACAUUGCUUAUAUAUGAUAGUCAUUUAUACCAAGUUUGGUCAUCAUCGAUUUCCGUCUUUCAUCUCAGUUGAAGGUCGCGAUCGACCAAUCGAUAUUAAUCUGUUAUAAACAGUUUUUUUAACGGAUGAGUUGGGUGAUAUUAGUUUAUUCACCUACGCUUGAUGUAUUCAAGCUAAAUGAACGAAAACGGAUAAGAUCAUUAGGUUCACUCCUUCUCCAAUCAAAUAAAAAAUUAAAAUACGAGUUAGAAUAAAUGGAGAAGCGCUCUUUUUCAUUGUAACACGGAAUGGCAAAAUUGAAUAGGUUGGGAAUACGCUUGCCGCCACAGCUCUGAUUACUCUGCGUGGGUUCGCAGUUUCGAAUCCCAUGCGGGGAUAGUUAUGUGCGAGAGAAUUGCUGAACCCGCGGAUAUACCGGUGCAAAUGUAUAGGUUCAAAUGUACGUGAGUUCAUAUGUAAAGCCACCUCUCCAGUCCAGGGUCGAAUAUCUGCAUCAUAGUUAGUGUCGGAUUGAAAGUUGAUUCAUGUGAGAAUUGUUACUUUUUCGUGCUACUUUUUUGCUACGGGAAAGUCAGACAUUUUUUGGCGAUACACCACUGUUCACUUUGGUCUUCGUAUCAAUAUAUUGGAAAAUCGCUCUAUUGUUUGCCAUUUAUUUAAUAUUGUAGAUUAACAUAUUGCGGUGUUAGUUAAUUAUUAGUUAAACAUAGGUUGAUAUAAGUCUGAUGCAUUUUAGAUGCACGUUGC